This 460-nucleotide ribosomal RNA is filed under the name uncultured bacterium. RNAcentral describes it as "partial 16S ribosomal RNA". It matches the Rfam family "Bacterial small subunit ribosomal RNA", at positions 338 to 795 of the family's 1533-position model. The record is from RNAcentral.
CCUACGGGAGGCAGCAGUGAGGAAUAUUGGUCAAUGGGCGCGAGCCUGAACCAGCCACGUAGCGUGAAGGAUGACUGCCCUACGGGCUGUAAACUUCUUUUAUAAAGGAAUAAAGUGAGGCACGUGUGCCUUUUCGUUUGUACUUUAUGUAUAAGGAUCGGCUAACCACGCGCCAGCAGCCGCGGUAAUACGGAGGAUCCGUGGGUUACGCGGAUUUAUUGGGUUUAAAGGGAGCGGAGAUGGGUUGUUAAGUCAGUUGUGAAAGUUUGCGGCUCAACCGGAAAAUUGCAAUUGAUACUGGCAGUCUUGAGGACAGAUGAGGUGAGCGGAAUUCGUGGUGUAGCGGUGAAAUGCGUAGAUAUCACGAAGAACUCCGAUUGCGAAGGCAGCUUACUAAACUGCCACUGACAUUGAUGCUCGAAAGUGUGGGUAUCAAACAGGAUUAGAUACCCCAGUAGUC